CACGGUCCAGACUCCUACGGGAGGCAGCAGUGGGGAAUAUUGCACAAUGGGCGCAAGCCUGAUGCAGCCAUGCCGCGUGUGUGAAGAAGGCCUUCGGGUUGUAAAGCACUUUCAGUCGUGAGGAAGGUAGUGUAGUUAAUAGCUGCAUUAUUUGACGUUAGCGACAGAAGAAGCACCGGCUAACUCCGUGCCAGCAGCCGCGGUAAUACGGAGGGUGCGAGCGUUAAUCGGAAUUACUGGGCGUAAAGCGCAUGCAGGUGGUUUGUUAAGUCAGAUG
This 277-nucleotide ribosomal RNA is filed under the name Vibrio alginolyticus. RNAcentral describes it as "partial 16S ribosomal RNA". It matches the Rfam family "Bacterial small subunit ribosomal RNA", at positions 325 to 594 of the family's 1533-position model. Lineage: Bacteria; Pseudomonadati; Pseudomonadota; Gammaproteobacteria; Vibrionales; Vibrionaceae. RNAcentral also lists the same sequence under 1 other name. The record is from RNAcentral.